UACGGGGGGAGCAAGCGUUGUUCGGAUUUACUGGGCGUAAAGGGCGCGUAGGCGGCCAGCACAAGUCAGUUGUGAAAUCUCCGAGCUUAACUCGGAACGGUCAACUGAUACUGUGCGGCUAGAGUGCAGAAGGGGCAACUGGAAUUCUUGGUGUAGCGGUGAAAUGCGUAGAUAUCAAGAGGAACACCGGUGGCGAAGGCGGAUUUCUGGACCAGUUCUGACACUGAUGAGCGAAAGCCAGGGGAGCAAACAGG
Molecule: ribosomal RNA, 254 nt
Filed under: uncultured bacterium
Lineage: Bacteria
Description: partial 16S ribosomal RNA
Rfam family: Bacterial small subunit ribosomal RNA
Source: RNAcentral